This is a non-coding RNA of Schistosoma rodhaini, 45 nucleotides long. The record is from Rfam. Lineage: Eukaryota; Metazoa; Platyhelminthes; Trematoda; Strigeidida; Schistosomatidae.
AUCCGGGUGACUAGUCCCAAAUAGGACGAAACGCGCGUUCUGGAU